GGAUGAAGAACGUAGCGAAAUGCGAUACGUAAUGUGAAUUGCAGAUUUCAGUGAAUCAUCGAAUCUUUGAACGCACAUUGCGCCCGCUAGUAUUCUGGCGGGCAUGCCUGUUCGAGCGUCAUUUCAACCAUCAAGCCCCCGGCUUGCGUUGGAGCCCUGCGGCUGCCGCAGGCUCCCAAAACCAGUGGCGGGCUCGUCGUCGUACCGAGUGCAGUAAACAUCCUCGCUCAGGGAACGCGGCGGGUUCUUGCCGUGAAACCCCCCCCACAUCAAGGUUGACCUCGGAUCAGGUAGGAAUACCCGCUGAACUUAAGCAUAUCAAUAAGCGGAGGA
This 333-nucleotide unclassified non-coding RNA is filed under the name soil metagenome. RNAcentral's name for it is "partial contains 5.8S ribosomal RNA, internal transcribed spacer 2, and large subunit ribosomal RNA". The stretch from base 2 to 121 matches the Rfam family "5.8S ribosomal RNA", at positions 35 to 154 of the family's 154-position model. The record is from RNAcentral.